Long non-coding RNA from Carassius gibelio (silver crucian carp), 581 nucleotides. RefSeq lists it as uncharacterized. Lineage: Eukaryota; Metazoa; Chordata; Actinopteri; Cypriniformes; Cyprinidae. The record is from RefSeq and is a predicted model, not a curated record. The transcript has 3 exons.
GUGACACCAUUUUGGAGGGAAAACAACCACACAAACUAAACAAUGCUGAGGCAGGGGAUCCAUUCACACGUUUAAAGCCACACGGAGGGGGUCUUGAGAGCUGUCAGGGGGCAUUUAGCUUGUGAUCUGCCCACAACAGUGAGAAUAAAUAAUGUCCUCCUCUUAAAAAAGGAGGGUGGAGAGGAGGUCCGGUCGUGCCUGAUUCAUGUCGUACACACUAGCAGGCCAUUACGCAUGGAGAAUUGAUUGCUGAAGCGCCGUGGCCGGUGUUGGAUCUUGAUGGUGCCGCUGAAAUGUCACCUUACUGAUGUUACAGUGCGGGAGAUAUUAAAGCCAGCCAUAUUCAAAGACUUCUGUUUGUUUCUGAUCCACUCCCACUGUGUGCUUGAGGACAGCGCUGAUCAUCUGAGUUUAUUUUUUUAUUUCUGAUGGCUGGUCUCUUAUCUGCUCAAGACAGUGGAGCAGCUUCUGUCCCCGCAUUGAACAUUUCCAAUCGGCCACUUGUAUCGUCCUCGUCUUUUAAAGUGGAAAUCCAAAUAUAGAGUAGUUUUGCUUUCUUCAUUUCUACUUUUGAAGACAUA